This 237-nucleotide ribosomal RNA is filed under the name uncultured bacterium. RNAcentral describes it as "partial 16S ribosomal RNA". It matches the Rfam family "Bacterial small subunit ribosomal RNA", at positions 15 to 245 of the family's 1533-position model. The record is from RNAcentral.
GAUCCUGGGCUCAGGAUGAACGCUAGCGACAGGCUUAACACAUGCAAGUCGAGGGGCAGCACAGGGUAGCAAUACUUGGGUGGCGACCGGCGCACGGGUGAGUAACGCGUAUGCAACUUACCUAUCAGAGGGGGAUAGCCCGGCGAAAGUCGGAUUAAUACCCCAUGAAACAGGGGUCCCGCAUGGGAAUAUUUGUUAAAGAUUCAUCGCUGAUAGAUAGGCAUGCGUUCCAUUAGG